This 106-nucleotide microRNA precursor is filed under the name Loxodonta africana (African savanna elephant). Its description in RNAcentral is "miRNA (ENSLAFG00000025170.2)". The record is from RNAcentral. Lineage: Eukaryota; Metazoa; Chordata; Mammalia; Proboscidea; Elephantidae.
AACAGAUAUGUAUAUAUAUAUAUACACACACACACACUGACACGCACACACACAAAUAUAUGUAUAUGUAUGUGUGUGUGUGUGUGUGUAUAUAUAUAUAUAAAAU